Molecule: ribosomal RNA, 740 nt
Filed under: Lelliottia amnigena
Lineage: Bacteria; Pseudomonadati; Pseudomonadota; Gammaproteobacteria; Enterobacterales; Enterobacteriaceae
Description: bacterial SSU rRNA
Rfam family: Bacterial small subunit ribosomal RNA
Source: RNAcentral
UGCAAGUCGAGCGGUAGCACAGAGAGCUUGCUCUCGGGUGACGAGCGGCGGACGGGUGAGUAAUGUCUGGGAAACUGCCUGAUGGAGGGGGAUAACUACUGGAAACGGUAGCUAAUACCGCAUAACGUCGCAAGACCAAAGAGGGGGACCUUCGGGCCUCUUGCCAUCAGAUGUGCCCAGAUGGGAUUAGCUAGUAGGUGGGGUAAUGGCUCACCUAGGCGACGAUCCCUAGCUGGUCUGAGAGGAUGACCAGCCACACUGGAACUGAGACACGGUCCAGACUCCUACGGGAGGCAGCAGUGGGGAAUAUUGCACAAUGGGCGCAAGCCUGAUGCAGCCAUGCCGCGUGUAUGAAGAAGGCCUUCGGGUUGUAAAGUACUUUCAGCGAGGAGGAAGGCAUUGUGGUUAAUAACCACAGUGAUUGACGUUACUCGCAGAAGAAGCACCGGCUAACUCCGUGCCAGCAGCCGCGGUAAUACGGAGGGUGCAAGCGUUAAUCGGAAUUACUGGGCGUAAAGCGCACGCAGGCGGUCUGUCAAGUCGGAUGUGAAAUCCCCGGGCUCAACCUGGGAACUGCAUUCGAAACUGGCAGGCUAGAGUCUUGUAGAGGGGGGUAGAAUUCCAGGUGUAGCGGUGAAAUGCGUAGAGAUCUGGAGGAAUACCGGUGGCGAAGGCGGCCCCCUGGACAAAGACUGACGCUCAGGUGCGAAAGCGUGGGGAGCAAACAGGAUUAGAUACCC